UACGAAGGGGGCUAGCGUUGCUCGGAAUCACUGGGCGUAAAGCGCACGUAGGCGGAUUGCUAAGUCAGGGGUGAAAUCCUGGAGCUCAACUCCAGAACUGCCUUUGAUACUGGCGAGCUUGAGUCCGGGAGAGGUGAGUGGAACUGCGAGUGUAGAGGUGAAAUUCGUAGAUAUUCGCAAGAACACCAGUGGCGAAGGCGGCUCACUGGCCCGGUACUGACGCUGAGGUGCGAAAGCGUGGGGAGCAAACAGG
This 253-nucleotide ribosomal RNA is filed under the name uncultured bacterium. RNAcentral describes it as "partial 16S ribosomal RNA". It matches the Rfam family "Bacterial small subunit ribosomal RNA", at positions 524 to 776 of the family's 1533-position model. The record is from RNAcentral.